This 24-nucleotide non-coding RNA is filed under the name Cricetulus griseus (Chinese hamster). The record is from RNAcentral. Lineage: Eukaryota; Metazoa; Chordata; Mammalia; Rodentia; Cricetidae.
GAAUGUGAAUGGAAGCUUGGAGAG